UCGAACGGCAGCACGGACUUCGGUCUGGUGGCGAGUGGCGAACGGGUGAGUAAUAUAUCGGAACGUACCCAAGAGUGGGGGAUAACGUAGCGAAAGUUACGCUAAUACCGCAUACGAUCUAAGGAUGAAAGCAGGGGAUCGCAAGACCUUGUGCUCCUGGAGCGGCCGAUAUCUGAUUAGCUAGUUGGUGGGGUAAAGGCCCACCAAGGCAUCGAUCAGUAGCUGGUCUGAGAGGACGACCAGCCACACUGGAACUGAGACACGGUCCAGACUCCUACGGGAGGCAGCAGUGGGGAAUUUUGGACAAUGGGGGCAACCCUGAUCCAGCAAUGCCGCGUGAGUGAAGAAGGCCUUCGGGUUGUAAAGCUCUUUUGUCAGGGAAGAAAAGGUAGGGGCUAAUAUCCCUUGCUCAUGACGGUACCUGAAGAAUAAGCACCGGCUAACUACGUGCCAGCAGCCGCGGUAAUACGUAGGGUGCAAGCGUUAAUCGGAAUUACUGGGCGUAAAGCGUGCGCAGGCGGUUUUGUAAGACUGUCGUGAAAUCCCCGGGCUCAACCUGGGAAUGGCGAUGGUGACUGCAAGGCUAGAGUUUGGCAGAGGGGGGUAGAAUUCCCACGUGUAGCAGUGAAAUGCGUAGAUAUGUGGAGGAACACCGAUGGCGAAGGCAGCCCCCUGGGUCAAAACUGACGCUCAUGCACGAAAGCGUGGGGAGCAAACAGGAUUAGAUACCCUGGUAGUCCACGCCCUAAACGAUGUCUACUAGUUGUCGGGUCUUAAUUGACUUGGUAACGCAGCUAACGCGUGAAGUAGACCGCCUGGGGAGUACGGUCGCAAGAUUAAAACUCAAAGGAAUUGACGGGGACCCGCACAAGCGGUGGAUGAUGUGGAUUAAUUCGAUGCAACGCGAAAAACCUUACCUACCCUUGACAUGGAUGGAAUCCUUGAGAGAUUGAGGAGUGCCCGAAAGGGAACCAUUACACAGGUGCUGCAUGGCUGUCGUCAGCUCGUGUCGUGAGAUGUUGGGUUAAGUCCCGCAACGAGCGCAACCCUUGUCAUUAGUUGCUACGAAAGGGCACUNUAAUGAGACUGCCGGUGACAAACCGGAGGAAGGUGGGGAUGACGUCAAGUCCUCAUGGCCCUUAUGGGUAGGGCUUCACACGUCAUACAAUGGUACAUACAGAGGGCCGCCAACCCGCGAGGGGGAGCUAAUCCCAGAAAGUGUAUCGUAGUCCGGAUUGUAGUCUGCAACUCGACUACAUGAAGUUGGAAUCGCUAGUAAUCGCGGAUCAGCAUGUCGCGGUGAAUACGUUCCCGGGUCUUGUACACACCG
This 1330-nucleotide ribosomal RNA is filed under the name Duganella radicis. RNAcentral describes it as "bacterial SSU rRNA". It matches the Rfam family "Bacterial small subunit ribosomal RNA", at positions 62 to 1392 of the family's 1533-position model. The record is from RNAcentral. Lineage: Bacteria; Pseudomonadati; Pseudomonadota; Betaproteobacteria; Burkholderiales; Oxalobacteraceae.